GUUAGCGUCAUCGGCGAUGGUCCUUCCGCCAGGAAGGUGAAAAGGGAAGCCGGUGCGAUAACCUCAACGCCGGCGCUGCCCCCGCAACUGUAAGCGACGAGCCCGCGCCGGUGCCACUGGGAUUUCCCGGGAAGGCGGCUACGGGCAGUGACUCGCGAGCCAGGAGACCUGCCAUCACGAACUGUGCUUU
This 190-nucleotide non-coding RNA is filed under the name Bradyrhizobium lablabi. The record is from RNAcentral. Lineage: Bacteria; Pseudomonadati; Pseudomonadota; Alphaproteobacteria; Hyphomicrobiales; Nitrobacteraceae.